RNAcentral lists this ribosomal RNA (460 nucleotides) under uncultured bacterium. Its description in RNAcentral is "partial 16S ribosomal RNA". It matches the Rfam family "Bacterial small subunit ribosomal RNA", at positions 338 to 795 of the family's 1533-position model. The record is from RNAcentral.
CCUACGGGAGGCAGCAGUGAGGAAUAUUGGUCAAUGGCCGGAAGGCUGAACCAGCCAUGCCGCGUGAAGGUCAGUGCCCUAUGGGCGUUAAACUUCUUUUGUGCGGGAGCAAUAAUGGUCACGUGUGGCCAGACGAGAGUACCGUACGAAUAAGCAUCGGCUAACUCCGUGCCAGCAGCCGCGGUAAUACGGGGGAUGCAAGCGUUAUCCGGAUUUAUUGGGGUUAAAGGGUGCGUAGGCUGUGAGGUAAGUCAGCGGUGAAAUGCCCCGGCUCACCGGGGUGAAGUGCCAUUGAUACUGCCUUGCUGGAAUGCGGAUGCCGUGGGAGGAAUGUGUGGUGUAGCGGUGAAAUGCAUAGAUAUCACACAGAACACCGAUUGCGAAGGCAUCUCACGAAUCCGCGAUUGACGCUGAUGCACGAAAGCGUGGGUAUCAAACAGGAUUAGAUACCCCUGUAGUC